AGUGAACGCUGGCGGUAUGCCUAACACAUGCAAGUCGAACGGCAGCACAGUAAGAGCUUGCUCUUACGGGUGGCGAGUGGCGGACGGGUGAGGAAUACAUCGGAAUCUACUUUUUCGUGGGGGAUAACGUAGGGAAACUUACGCUAAUACCGCAUACGACCUACGGGUGAAAGCAGGGGAUCUUCGGACCUUGCGCGAUUGAAUGAGCCGAUGUCGGAUUAGCUAGUUGGCGGGGUAAAGGCCCACCAAGGCGACGAUCCGUAGCUGGUCUGAGAGGAUGAUCAGCCACACUGGAAGUGAGAAACGGUCCAGACACCUACAGGAGGACGCAGUGGGGAAUAUUGGACAAUGGGGGAGAGCCUGAUCCAGCAAUACCGCGUGGGGGAAGAAGGACUUCGGGUUGUAAAGCCCUUUUGUUGGGAAAGAAGAGCAGCAGGUUAAUACCCCGCUGUUCUGACGGUACCCAAAGAAUAAGCACCGGCUAACUUCGUG
RNAcentral lists this ribosomal RNA (492 nucleotides) under uncultured bacterium. RNAcentral's name for it is "partial 16S ribosomal RNA". It matches the Rfam family "Bacterial small subunit ribosomal RNA", at positions 29 to 507 of the family's 1533-position model. The record is from RNAcentral.